CUGGUUCUUGGAGGAAGUAACUUUUCUUUUUUACCAUAAGAUGACUGGGAUUUUCCCCUCAAAUAGGAAGCACAUCAGAGUAUGAAUUGCCAAAAAUCUUCAUAAAACUGUGGCAUCCUUUCUGACAUUUCUUUGUCAUUUUCCCUGAGCUUCCUUAAGCAACACAUGUUAAAGAUUUAAAGGCAUCCAAGCAAUAAACAGGUUGGGGGAGAAAAAGGCACAAUUCUCCUGCUCAGAGGUAACCUACCCUUCUGUUGACAUGUGAGCUUUUCCCAUCAGUAAGAUGAAAGAUUUGAAUUUGAUGAGAUCUAAAGUUAGUUUCCUUGCCCAUAAUUUCUUACCUUUAAACUUUAUAUAACCAUCUUCAGCACAUCUCUUGAGUAAACUUUUCCCUAGAGUUUUAGUCCCUCGUUGUGGAAAAGACCAAGCUGAGAUUUUGUUCUACGUUCUAAUUUAAUCUACAUCCAUGCAUAGCACACAGAGGUAUAGAUACUUUUUCAGUGGUCUGCCACCUUAAAUCUUCUUGGUGGAGCACAUGACUGUGUUAUAUGUCCGCUCCUCUGCCUCUGAUGAAUAAUGGAUUUUGAUAUUCUAUUAAUACUUUCUCAGACUUGUCCUUAAAAAAAUAUACUGGACUCUACAAGUGGGUUGUGUGUUUAGGAUCCCAUUCUAGGAUAAAACCCAUAUUCCUUUUCAGACUUCUAUCGACACUCUUGCCCUCCUUGGUCUUAAAAUGGUGCUAAAGGU
Long non-coding RNA from Perognathus longimembris pacificus (Pacific pocket mouse), 747 nucleotides. RefSeq lists it as uncharacterized. The transcript has 3 exons. Lineage: Eukaryota; Metazoa; Chordata; Mammalia; Rodentia; Heteromyidae. The record is from RefSeq and is a predicted model, not a curated record.